AGUGAACGCUGGCGGCGUGCCUAAUACAUGCAAGUCGAACGGAGAUUAAGUAGCUUGCUAUUUAAUCUUAGUGGCGCACGGGUGAGUAAUAUAUAGCUAACUUGCCCAUUACUAAGGGACAACAGUUGGAAACGACUGCUAAUACCUUAUACUCCGUAUCUAUAUAAGUAGAUACGGGAAAGUUUUUCGGUAAUGGAUAGGGCUAUAUCGUAUCAGCUAGUUGGUAAGGUAAUGGCUUACCAAGGCUAUGACGCGUAACUGGUCUGAGAGGAUGAUCAGUCACACUGGAACUGAGACACGGUCCAGACUACUACGGGAGGCAGCAGUAGGGAAUAUUGCUCAAUGGGGGAAACCCUGAAGCAGCAACGACGCGUGGAGGAUGACACUUUUCGGAGCGUAAACUCCUUUUCUUGGGAAAGAAUUAGGACGGUACCCAAGGAAUAAACACCGGCUAACUCCGU
Molecule: ribosomal RNA, 461 nt
Filed under: uncultured bacterium
Lineage: Bacteria
Description: partial 16S ribosomal RNA
Rfam family: Bacterial small subunit ribosomal RNA
Source: RNAcentral